This 109-nucleotide small nuclear RNA is filed under the name Myotis lucifugus (little brown bat). The record is from RNAcentral. Lineage: Eukaryota; Metazoa; Chordata; Mammalia; Chiroptera; Vespertilionidae.
GUGCUCACAUGACAGCAUAUAAACUGCCAAAAUUAAAACAAUCCAGAGGAAAUUAGUAUGUCUACUGCUCAUGGAUGACAUGCACGUUAGUGAGCACUCAGAUAUUAGG